GUAUAAGCAUUAUACAGCGAAACUGCGAAUGGCUCAUUAUAUAAGUUAUCGUUUACUUGAUAGCACCUUACUACUUGGAUAACCGUGGUAAUUCUAGAGCUAAUACAUGCACAAAAUCCCGACGCAAGAAGGGAUGUAUUUAUUAGAUACAAAACCAAUGCCCUCCGGGGCUCACUGGUGAUUCAUGAUAACUUCGCGAAUCGCACAGCCUUGCGCUGGCGAUGGUUCAAUCAAGUUUCUUCCCUAUCAACUUUCGAUGUUUGGGUAUUGGCCAAACAUGGUUGCAACGGGUAACGGAGGGUUAGGGCUCGACCCCGGAGAAGGAGCCUGAGAAACGGCUACUACAUCCAAGGAAGGCAGCAGGCGCGCAAAUUACCCAAUCCCGACACGGGGAGGUAGUGACAAUAAAUACUGAUACAGGGCUCUAUUGGGUCUUGUAAUUGGAAUGAGUACAAUCUAAAUCUCUUAACGAGGAACAAUUGGAGGGCAAGUCUGGUGCACAC
RNAcentral lists this ribosomal RNA (503 nucleotides) under Beauveria sp. N28. RNAcentral describes it as "SSU rRNA". It matches the Rfam family "Eukaryotic small subunit ribosomal RNA", at positions 63 to 571 of the family's 1831-position model. Lineage: Eukaryota; Fungi; Ascomycota; Sordariomycetes; Hypocreales; Cordycipitaceae. The record is from RNAcentral.